RNAcentral lists this ribosomal RNA (578 nucleotides) under uncultured bacterium. RNAcentral's name for it is "bacterial SSU rRNA". It matches the Rfam family "Bacterial small subunit ribosomal RNA", at positions 37 to 591 of the family's 1533-position model. The record is from RNAcentral.
UGGCGGCGUGCCUAACACAUGCAAGUCGAGCGCGAAAGUCCCUUCGGGGGCGAGUAGAGCGGCGGACGGGUGAGUAAUACAUAGGUAAUCUACCUUCGAGCUUGGGAUAACCCCGCGAAAGUGGGGCUAAUACCGGAUAAGACCACGCAACCAUGUUGCGGGGUAAAAGGUGGCUUAUUUUUUAAAUGAGCUGUCACUUGAGGAUGAGCCUAUGGCCUAUCAGCUUGUUGGCGGGGUAAGAGCCCACCAAGGCUAUGACGGGUAGCUGGUCUGAGAGGACGACCAGCCACACUGGGACUGAGACACGGCCCAGACUCCUACGGGAGGCAGCAGUGGGGAAUAUUGGGCAUUUUUGCUUUAGCCUGACCCAGCGACGCCGCGUGGGCGAUGAAGGCCUUCGGGUUGUAAAGCCCUGUCAUGCGGAAAGAACGACCCUGUGACGCAUACUCACAGGGAGUGACGGUACCGCAGGAGGAAGCACCGGCUAACUCCGUGCCAGCAGCCGCGGUAAUACGGAGGGUGCAAGCGUUGUUCGGAAUUAUUGGGCGUAAAGGGCGCGUAGGCGGAAUGUAAGUCAG